CAACUCUUAGCGGUGGGAUCAAUAGA
This 26-nucleotide ribosomal RNA is filed under the name Cyprinus carpio (common carp). RNAcentral's name for it is "partial 5.8S ribosomal RNA". The record is from RNAcentral. Lineage: Eukaryota; Metazoa; Chordata; Actinopteri; Cypriniformes; Cyprinidae.